CAAGCUGGCCAGAACUGUAGUUGC
This 24-nucleotide non-coding RNA is filed under the name Cricetulus griseus (Chinese hamster). Lineage: Eukaryota; Metazoa; Chordata; Mammalia; Rodentia; Cricetidae. The record is from RNAcentral.